UGCCUUUUUGUGCGUGUGUGUGUGUGUGUGUGUGUAUGUGCGCGCGCAUGGGUAUAUGUGUGUGUGUGUGUGUGCGUGCGUGUGUGUGUGCUAGUGACUGUGUGUGUGUGCAUGGAAGGUAAAGCCAGUCAGUCAGUGAGAAGCAAAGCUGAACGGCUUCCCGAAGAGCACUGAGUUUUCUGUGCCAGAUUCUGCUCCAGUGGCUAGGACCUUUAUGGCUGCUGUUUCUUUUGCUCUGGGCUCUGAUGGAGGGGGAAAAAAAAAAAAAAAAAAAAGCCACGGUGGAUCCCGUCCCUAAAGUAGAAAUUUUCUUUUUCGUUCUGCAAACAAGGCUAAAGAUCGGAGGAGAACGAAUGCGAAAGUAAUUCGGGAUUGUGGUCGUGCCAUUAAAAGUGUUCGGCUUCAGAACGAAAUUAUUCGGGAAACCCGAGCAUUUCUUCUUACUGUAUCGACAGUAUUUGAAAGUUGUGUGUGCUUUGAGUAAUCUGGUUCAAGUGACAACAAUCUCUGCAUGUCAAUGUUUUCUACAGCUUAUGGAGCGAAAGCUAGCUUUGCCAUUGGAAAGGAAGAAGCUUUUGCUAGCAGUCUGUAGAAGGAUUAAAUGUUGAACGUGGGGAAGAGGCAAAAAGUGAAUACACGCCCCAAGGUUAUCCUUGCAUCGUGAAUGGGUUUAAAGUACUCCUCUGUAACCCAGGGCCCACCUGAACAGUAGGACUAAAAGUAUAAUGGGGAAAUAUUUCAAUUAGAAACCCCUUAACAAACAUUUAAUCCUUCUUUCAGGCAGUAAGGGGAAUAGAACAAAAUUGUUACUGUACAAAUCUGCUGGAAGCAGAUUUUAACCCAUUUGUAGACGCUUCCCUCUGAUGCAUUAUAAUAUGCCUGCUUGCAAGACGAGGCAGUGAAGAUUUUUUCCGGUGUUCUUUGUUUUUUCUUUUCAAAAGUUAAGGACUAUACUCUAAGAAAAGUCUGUUCAGUCAGCUGAUACACUGUUUGAAUGUAUGUAUAUGUCUUGCCUGCUUAUUUGAUCUUUUCUGCCCCCUACUUGAAACGGUGGUUUGUUUAUCUGGGGGGAAGGAGGGUUGUUGAUCUGGGUCGGGGGGGCGGGGGGGGGAUGUUGUUUUUUGGGGUUGUUUUGGUUUUGGGGUUUUUUUUGUUAACAAUAGCAGUGAAAGUUUUGCUGACAGCAAGUAUGACUACUAAGCAAUUCAGUUUAUUGGAAGACGAAUUCUACCGGAUCAUAUCAGACUUUUCCUAGUCCCUGAGACCCUAACUUGUGAGGUUUUUUAGCAACAAUCACAAGUCAGGCUCUUGGGACCUAGGCGGAGGGGAACCAGCAGCUUUGGACUGUGAUUGUUUCUCUGCAGAAUUUAGAGAACCAAAGGAGCUUUCCUUGUCUGGAAGGGAAAAAAGGAAAAUAUACCUAUUUCAAAUGUUAAGCAACAGAACUGUUCCUAAAAGAAAACAAACAAACAAACAAACUGUUAUCCAUUGUGCAACAUUAGGAUGUUACAUAUUUGUAAGUUUAGAAAACUGGACUAGAUGCCAUGCAACAUUUAGAAUUAAAAUUUAAACUGAAUGCCAGCUUGCAUCUCCAAAAAAACGCCACAACAGACAACUGAAAACAGAUACCGAAAUACACAAGAAGCUUUCAACCAUAUUGUUAUUAUUAUUAUUUAUUUUUAUUGUUAUAGACAAUUCUGAUUGUUAGUUACUGGAAAGUGUAAAAAAUACCAUAUAAAUGUAUUGUAACAGCAUUAAUUAACUUUUAAAACAUAAAGCAUAAAGGCUGAUGUUUGAGGCCUAGAAAACAUUCAUUCUAUUGUUGUUUGAAUAAUGAUUUCAGUCUACAGGAAAACUGUUGCUUAGCUUUUCCUGUUAAAUGGGACAAAGAUUAUUCUGUAGUUAGUUGCCAUCAUUUUUCUUUGUCUAAGUGAGGACACAAUAUGGCAUUUAAAAUAUUCUCUCGUUUAAUUGACAUACUAAUCUGAUAGAGAAUAAUGGUGUAAAAAUCGUACUGCAGCACUAAAAUAACUUUGCACACAGAAUCACAUUUCUUGUACCUGUUCAGUUUAAACUGAGCCGGCAAUACUCUAAGCACUGCACUCAACUUCUAGCCUCUCCAUCACAAAAAACCAAGGGGAAAACCAGUGAGCUUUAGGUUGUCCCUCAUGUGUUAAGUACUUCACUGACUUUGCAUAAGAAGAUUCACAAGCACACGAGUUACGCAGCACUGUUCAUUAGUCUUGAACUUCUGAUCUGCAACGCAUAAUUUGAUUUGUAUUUCUUAAUAUUUUAUAGGGGGGUUAGUCCCGAGUCAUUUUUCUCUGUUGCCUGUGUCUAACCCAAGAUGCUGCAGGACCUUGUUGAUACAUCAGACUUCACUGAGACAAAGGCUUCACACAGAUCAGGCAUCUAAACUAUUUUUUCAUUUCAGAAGCGGUAUUUUGGCUGCAGUAUAUUUUUUCCACUUGUGUGGGAGGAAUUGUGUUUUAUUGUAAACAUCAACACUAUUGUUAAAAUAAAUUGUUCUUAUCUGUUAGUAUAAUA
Chroicocephalus ridibundus (black-headed gull) is the source of this 2547-nucleotide long non-coding RNA. RefSeq lists it as uncharacterized. The transcript has 2 exons. NCBI's taxonomy places the organism in Eukaryota, Metazoa, Chordata, Aves, Charadriiformes, Laridae. The record is from RefSeq and is a predicted model, not a curated record.